GGGAAAAUAGCUUAACUGGUAGAGUCCCGGCCUGUCACGCCGGUUGGUGCGGGUUCAACUCCCGUUUUUCCCG
Molecule: non-coding RNA, 73 nt
Organism: Ostreococcus tauri
Lineage: Eukaryota; Viridiplantae; Chlorophyta; Mamiellophyceae; Mamiellales; Bathycoccaceae
Source: Rfam